GCUGACAUGGUCUAGUGGUUAGGAUUCUGGGUUUUCACCCAGGCGGCCCGGGUUCGACUCCCGGUGUGGGAA
Elephantulus edwardii (Cape elephant shrew) is the source of this 72-nucleotide non-coding RNA. The record is from the annotation of a RefSeq genome assembly. NCBI's taxonomy places the organism in Eukaryota, Metazoa, Chordata, Mammalia, Macroscelidea, Macroscelididae.